CCUACGGGUGGCAGCAGUGAGGAAUAUUGGUCAAUGGGCGUAAGCCUGAACCAGCCAAGUCGCGUGAGGGAUGAAGGUUCUAUGGAUCGUAAACUUCUUUUAUAAGGGAAUAAAGUGCGGGACGUGUCCCGUUCUGUAUGUACCUUAUGAAUAAGGAUCGGCUAACUCCGUGCCAGCAGCCGCGGUAAUACGGAGGAUCCGAGCGUUAUCCGGAUUUAUUGGGUUUAAAGGGUGCGUAGGCGGGCUUUUAAGUCAGCGGUGAAAGUCUGUGGCUCAACCAUAGCAUUGCCGUUGAAACUGGGGGGCUUGAGUAGGUGUGAGGCAGGGGGAAGGCGUGGUGUAGCGGUGAAAUGCUUAGAUAUCGCGCAGAACCCCGAUUGCGAAGGCAGCCUGCCAGGCCAUGACUGACGCUGAUGCACGAAAGCGUGGGGAUCAAACAGGAUUAGAUACCCCUGUAGUC
Molecule: ribosomal RNA, 460 nt
Filed under: uncultured bacterium
Lineage: Bacteria
Description: partial 16S ribosomal RNA
Rfam family: Bacterial small subunit ribosomal RNA
Source: RNAcentral